GAGGCAGUAAACGCUUAUGGAUCGGUUGUUGCGAAGAAGGAACACGAAAAUCUUUGCGAGCAUUUCGAAGAAGGCUAAAGAAUGGUCUCGUUGUGCCUGAGAAGUUGACAGCAUUUACCAAAAGUGCAGCCAUAGGACAAAUAUUGAAGGAACAGAUGAACCACAUAGUGGAACUUUGCAAGAACAUGGAGAUGGAAAUAACUGGAACGGAAAAAGCUAUUCUACUUUACUGAUACCACCGUAGUUGAAGGCCCAAAAGUUACAAAUAAACCGGCAUUAGAAACAGGUUCUUUUUUUGUAUCCUGGCUUAUUUGCAAAAGUUAGGAAUGAAGGGGCUCUUAUUCAAGGGGGGUGCUUAUUUGACAUUUUGGCCAAGGGGGUGGAAGCUUAUAUGGGAGAGGGUACUUAUUGGAGCAUUGACACUUAUUCCAGGAAAUAUGGAACUGGUAAAAAAGUAUAUUAGGUACUUUCUACCCUUGGAGAUCAAAUAUUGUGAAGGGAUGCUCAAACCCCUGAAGAAAAUAACAUCACCUCUUUUAAAAUAGAAUGUAUUUUUUUGUAAGUGCUUGUUCAACAGUUUUUCAUGAUUGAGUUAUACAGAAGACAGCAAUCCAGGGUGAAAGGAACACUGACUUGCUUAGCAUGCACCUAAACAAGAAGAGAUACCCAAAUACUCAGUGAUAUGUGUAUUCCUUGGAAGAGGGAAAAUCUUCCUGUUUUCACAGACUGCAUUCAGUUGGUUUAUCAUAUUUUAAAAGUACAUUAAAACUGGGUGCACCAAGA
This is a long non-coding RNA of Pocillopora damicornis (cauliflower coral), 783 nucleotides long. The record is from RefSeq and is a predicted model, not a curated record. NCBI's taxonomy places the organism in Eukaryota, Metazoa, Cnidaria, Anthozoa, Scleractinia, Pocilloporidae.